GCCAGCAGCCACAUUGCCCUGCAGCUCACAGCAUGCAGCCCCGCUGAAGCUCAGCAGGGUUGAGCCCGGUCAGUACCUGGAUGGGAGGCUCCUGGGAAGCUAUGGUUGCUGCUGGAA
This 117-nucleotide ribosomal RNA is filed under the name Lepisosteus oculatus (spotted gar). The record is from RNAcentral. Lineage: Eukaryota; Metazoa; Chordata; Actinopteri; Semionotiformes; Lepisosteidae.